This 198-nucleotide ribosomal RNA is filed under the name uncultured bacterium. RNAcentral describes it as "partial 16S ribosomal RNA". It matches the Rfam family "Bacterial small subunit ribosomal RNA", at positions 1307 to 1500 of the family's 1533-position model. The record is from RNAcentral.
GAAACUACGCCUACCAUGAAGCUGGAGUUGCUAGUAAUCGCGAAUCAGCAUGUCGCGGUGAAUACGUUCCCGGGCCUUGUACACACCGCCCGUCACACCAUGAGAGUUGGCAAUACCCAACGUACGUGAUCUAACCCGCAAGGGAGGGAGCGUCCUAAGGUAGGGUCAGCGAUUGGGGUGAAGUCGUAACAAGGUAUC